This 356-nucleotide long non-coding RNA is filed under the name Gallus gallus (chicken). Lineage: Eukaryota; Metazoa; Chordata; Aves; Galliformes; Phasianidae. The record is from RNAcentral.
AUGUAUUUGGGAAAGUGGACUCUUGAGCAGCUUUUCUAUCUUCUGUCACGAAUGCCAUGGCUUCCAUUGAAAGAAGUGGAGAAAUUUCCUUUAAGAUGCUUUGGCACUGGGAGAAAUCGCUGUUUGGGUGGCUAUGUUCAUAUAGCUUUUGUAACAGCAGGGGAAUCCCAUUCCACUUUGCUUGUUUAUCUCUUUCCUUCAACAAGGCCUCUGUGAUCUGCGCCCCACGCGUGAGGCCGCGGCCGCUGAGCUGCCCGUGGCGGAGCUGCGCCAGGAUGUUGGUGGGAGCUCCGCGCCGCCGGCGGCCGCCGGGCCCAGGGCCUACCGCCGCCAUGGCCGCUGCCCCGCUCGGCCCG